Molecule: ribosomal RNA, 253 nt
Filed under: uncultured bacterium
Lineage: Bacteria
Description: partial 16S ribosomal RNA
Rfam family: Bacterial small subunit ribosomal RNA
Source: RNAcentral
AACGUAGGAGACAAACGUUAUCCGGAUUUACUGGGCGUAAAGGGCGUGUAGGUGGUUUCGUAAGUCUGGCGUGAAAUUUCCCGGCUUAACCGGGAGUGGUCGUCGGAUACUGCGGGACUAGAGGACGGUAGAGGCGUGUGGAAUUCCGGGUGUAGUGGUGAAAUGCGUAGAGAUCCGGAGGAACACCAGUGGCGAAGGCGGCACGCUGGGCCGUACCUGACACUGAUGCGCGACAGCAUGGGGAGCAAACAGG